RNAcentral lists this long non-coding RNA (263 nucleotides) under Vitis vinifera (wine grape). Its description in RNAcentral is "long non-coding RNA (VVIN_LNC005064)". The record is from RNAcentral. Lineage: Eukaryota; Viridiplantae; Streptophyta; Magnoliopsida; Vitales; Vitaceae.
UGGCAAAGGGGACCAGAAUUAGUGGAGGGAUAGAAUCGGAAGUGAUGAUAGGGGAGGACACAGCUGGUGAUGAAGGAGCAGACAAGCUGGGUGAAUUGAUUAAGGCAGGUGUAGAAGAAGGGAGGUGUGGAGGGGGUGAAGGUGGAGGAGAUGAAGACUGAAAUGGAAAAGAGGAUUCAUGGAAGAUCACAUUUCUGGAAAUGUAGAUACGACUAGUGGAGACAUCAAGACAUAAGUAACCUUUAUGAGCUGGUGCAUAUCCA